Molecule: long non-coding RNA, 3908 nt
Organism: Scophthalmus maximus (turbot)
Lineage: Eukaryota; Metazoa; Chordata; Actinopteri; Pleuronectiformes; Scophthalmidae
Source: Ensembl
GUUGAAACUUCUGCUGUGGGAUUUAAGCGGUUUUCAGAGCUCUACAAAGAAAGUGAAAUACAGUUUCAUUGUCUAUAAAUAGAGGUUGAGCUCAUCUUCCCCUGUUGUCAGGUCAGCUUUAACCAUAACGGUUUAAAAAAGACAAGGGUGUACUGUAACCCUCACAUGGGCCUCUGAGGCAACCUGGUCUGAUCAUUACAGCCUCUCGCAGCAAGAAAAGGUACAAACAUUUCGGCCUGGACAUGGACCAGUCUACGAGGGUGGUGGGUCUGGAUGCCCAGGGGAACAUGCUUUUCACCGUGGUGAAGCCGGUCAUGGGCAUCUUCCAGGUUUCCUCGGAUCAAGCUGGCAGCGUGGUGCACGGCGGCAUGGAGCUACAGGGUUUAUCCGAAAACACGUUGGUCCUCCCUCAAGUGCAGCAGGGCCAGGCGCCGCUCGAUCACAACCAGAUGGACAUGCACGCUAUGCAGCCGCACGUUCUGCCCCAGAUGCAGCUGUCCGCCCCGGUCCAGACGGAGGAAGUGCCCCAGAAUCCGGGGCUGCCGCCGUCGAACUCCAGCGCAAAUUCCGUGUCCGGUACCCAGAUGCCCUUUGCAGAGGUGUCGUCCCUCCUGGAUCCGAACAUGAAGGGAUCCAAGGCUCGGAAGUAUCUCAUCUCGUACGAUGAGAUCAAGCGGCGCCUGCAGGCCCCGGAGAAGAUGUCCCUGCGCUCCUUGGCGGCGUACACUCGAGUCAGCCGAGGCCCGGCCAGCAAGAAGACUCUUCUGGAGUCUCUGAACGUCCUCGGCCUCACGCCGAGCACGACUACCUCCGUGUCGUCCUCGUUCUCCAAACUCACCGAAGGUGACACCAGCGCUCUAUGUGAAGAUAUGAAAGAUUUCGCCCAGGACUACAUUGACUACGGCAACAUGGCUAAACAGCUCAUUCCAGAGAUGAAUACAGUUCAACAUUGGUCCAAAAUGAUUGAAACUAAGAAUCACCUCGAGGAUAUGAGGAAGUGUUUCAAGGACCCGGUCAACAGCGGCGCGUUCGACAACGUCACCCACGGCCUCGGUCUGGGAAUGUUGGACGUGGCGCUGGACAUGGUCGUCAUGGUGAUCGAGCAGCAGAUUCGCAUCUUGUCCGGCGUGGCGGCGUCAGACCCGGCCGACUCUGGUCCGCCGAUGCGGCGGAUCCGCAGGCGCCACCGCAAGGCCCACGCGAACGACACGGAGAAGCCCCACAAGGCGUCCGGGGGCGUCAAAGACCAAGGGAAGGGCAUUUCCAAAGGCAAGGGGCGGGGCAAAGCCAGGAAGAAAAUAAGACAGGAGACCGGAGCCGUCGUCCCCGCGGAGAGCCAGGCGGAGCAGUGCAACCCCGACGAUGCGGAGGGCGACAUGCUCACCCUGGUCUCUGUGGGAUACGAGGCCGUUUCCGGCGUUCACGACGCAGCCGGGGCAGUUUGACGACUGGUCUCACAGCAUGGUCUCAAGUUCCAAGUCGUCAUCGUCCCGUUGGAAGGGACACUGAGCGUCUGGGGCGGUCGGCAACAUGUUGAGCUGGGUCGAGCUACCGUGAAGGCGAGCGCGGUAAAAUGUCACAUCUCGGUGUCCCAACUUAUGUAGUAAGAGGUUAGCUUAGCUUAGCAUAAAGACUGGAAACGGGGGGGGGGGGGAGGUAGCCUAGCUCUGUCCAAGUGGAACGAAAUUCGGGGGCCUUACAGCAUUUUUUUCAUCUGUUCACAGAAACCAAGGCUCAACAAAGACCAGUAGUGUUUGUUUCCUUUUGCACAGGACGAGGCUACUUGCUUCCUGUCUUUAUGCUAAGCUAAGCUAACCAGCUGUCGUGACGUGCUCACUCUACAGAUAUGAGACGGUUUUUCCAUCUUCUCAUCUAGCAGUUGGUAAGAAAGCAACUAAGCACAUUGAUGCAAGAUGCUAAACUGUUUGUGGUUCUUCCCAGUAAUGUUUUUAGUGGCAGGUUUUAAAUUAUGUAUGAACUCAAUCAGAUCAUUUCAUAUUUUUAUCAUCCAAGGUUUCUUAGCGAACAGACACAAAUCAAUGAAUGUAACAUGUAAACACACUGUCCAUGCACCAGUACAUCCCACAUUUUAGAACAAACAAUAUGUUUUUUUUUAUUUUGUUUGUCUCCUGUUUUAUUUAUUGUCUAGACUUCCAGUGCUGUUGUUCUGUACGAGAGUGAUGUGAUGAAUAACUUGUCUGUUUUUACUGGAAUGUUAAGAGCUGAGGAAAAGAUAAAGAUAUAGUUUUCAUAACUCCUUGGAGCCGAUGUCUUGAAUGGAGCGAGCUCGGUUUGAAUUUGUCGAUCCCUGAGUAAAAAAAGUCAUAUUUUCAUUCUAAACAGGAACAUGCGAUUUGAAGUCAAUAGGGAAAUUAGAUAGAUUUUUGGGGACACAAUGUAAAAUACGCCACCGUUUUGUUAAAAAGCCCAAUUUGCUGCAUUUCAAAUGUCAUCAUCAUCAAAAAGGACAUAAAAAGAUUAUAUGGAGUUCAACAGAUUGCCGAACACCAAGCUUUCCUUUUUCUAACUCAAAUUCAACAGCUUGCUAUUGGUGUGCCAAUACCGCCAUCUAGUGGGCUACUAGGGGAACAAUAAAUACACAUGUCAAGUAUGAUACUAUAUGUGAGCUACAUUGCUUUUAUAGAAGUUGCCAUAAGCCUACAAAUGCAGAUGUUAGAUUCAGAUUCCCUCUAGGGAACCUGGAUGUAAGGCAGGACUGGAGAUCUUUAUGAAUUUCAUCUUUAAGGAAAAACUGGAAACCUGAGACAUUUAGUUUCCUUCAAGAGCAAUAAUACAUUAUACAAUAGAAUAUGUCUGCGGAUACAAUAUGUCUGCAGAGCCAGACCUCUUGGGGAUUGAGGCCUAGUGCACGCUUGCAAGUUUACACACACACACACACACACACACAGGGAGGGUGAGUGCUUUAAAUCCUCUAGCAGCUUUCGUGAGGAUUUUCUCCGUAUUAACCCUGACAACCAGCUGGAGUAGAAGGAAGGCAGGUGUGACACAAAAAAACCCCUUUAUUCUGCACAAACCUCAGCGGCAGCGUGAGUGAAGUGAAAUGCAGAGAGCGCUGAAGUAGAUUUUUUUUUUUCUUUUUCUCAAGCUGACACGAGAGAAAUCUUUGAGAAGGAGAGAGAGAGAGAGAGAAAGAAAGAAAGAAAAAAAGCAAUGCCAUGUGUUCUGCGUGAGGACGUCAACCUGAGGAGGUGUCCCCGGCGGCGGCUGGCUGACCGAGGACCGCAGAGCGCAGCAGGAUCAUGGGACACGCCAACGUGCCGCUCACGCGCAGCUGCCACGCGGACAAACGCACCGCCGGCCGACUGCAGCCGUACACACCUCCCGGCGACGGUGAGUCCCACACAUCAGAUCGAUCGUACGGGUGAAGACAUUAUGAUUCGUGUUUCAUGUUUACACUCAAGUGCAACUAGACUCUUGAGCAUCCGUUGGUUGUUGAGCAGCAGAAUCUCAGUUGCAGCCUUUGAUGGGGGAGAAUUUUAUUCAUUCGUUCUUCCCUUAUACCAGUGUUAUUGUUAAAUUCUUUGACAAAGACAAUCAUACUGUAUGACUUCAUGUAUAUUAUUGCCGGGAAUUCUUCAUUGCACUCUAUGUUGGAUUCUUUAAUGUAUUUUUCCUAACCGCCCAGGCAGCCAUUUGUCUUUUGUAUUGAUUUCUACGAAUGGAAGAUUCUUGAGAUUUGCACUUUGCCAGUUCACAUUGAGUGAUAGUAAAGUUAAAGCGCAGAUUGACUUGGACUUAUUAAUUUUCAUUAGAUUAGGAAGUGAUGUUCAACCAUAUAGGAAGUCAGGACUGGUAGGAAAAAUACACUGACAGCAGCAGAGUUUGCCAAAAUUAUAAACGUGCAAAAUCACACAGGUAUGACAUGCUAAGCAUCCGACUAUGUCUCC